CCUACGGGAGGCAGCAGUGAGGAAUAUUGGUCAAUGGGCGGAAGCCUGAACCAGCCAAGUAGCGUGCAGGAUGACGGCCCUACGGGUUGUAAACUGCUUUUAUACGGGAAUAACGCGCCUUACGUGUAGGGCUUUGCAUGUACCGUAUGAAUAAGGACCGGCUAAUUCCGUGCCAGCAGCCGCGGUAAUACGGAGGGUCCGGGCGUUAUCCGGAUUUAUUGGGUUUAAAGGGCGCGUAGGCCGCAUGUCAAGCGUGCUGUGAAAUGUCCGGGCUCAACCCCGGCCUUGCAGCGCGAACUGGCUGGCUUGAGUCCGCGGAAAGCAGGCGGAAUUCGUGGUGUAGCGGUGAAAUGCUUAGAUAUGACGAAGAACCCCGAUUGCGAAGGCAGCUUGCUGCAGCGGAACUGACGCUGAUGCUCGAAAGCGCGGGGAUCGAACAGGAUUAGAUACCCGAGUAGUC
RNAcentral lists this ribosomal RNA (460 nucleotides) under uncultured bacterium. RNAcentral describes it as "partial 16S ribosomal RNA". It matches the Rfam family "Bacterial small subunit ribosomal RNA", at positions 338 to 795 of the family's 1533-position model. The record is from RNAcentral.